RNAcentral lists this unclassified non-coding RNA (320 nucleotides) under plant metagenome. RNAcentral describes it as "partial contains 5.8S ribosomal RNA, internal transcribed spacer 2, and large subunit ribosomal RNA". The stretch from base 1 to 105 matches the Rfam family "5.8S ribosomal RNA", at positions 50 to 154 of the family's 154-position model. The record is from RNAcentral.
GAAAUGCGAUAAGUAAUGUGAAUUGCAGAAUUCAGUGAAUCAUCGAAUCUUUGAACGCACAUUGCGCCCGCCAGUAUUCUGGCGGACAUGCCUGUUCGAGCGUCAUUACAACCCUCAGGCCCCCGGGCCUGGCGUUGGGGAUCGGCGGAAGCCCCCUGCGGGCACAACGCCGUCCCCCAAAUACAGUGGCGGUCCCGCCGCAGCUUCCAUUGCGUAGUAGCUAACACCUCGCAACUGGAGAGCAGCGCGGCCACGCCGUAAAACACCCAACUUCUGAAUGUUGACCUGGAAUCAGGUAGGAAUACCCGCUGAACUUAAGC